ACUCCCAGGGCUCCCUAUCCUCCCCUCCCCCUCCCACUUCAAGCAGUAAGCAGGAGGAGAAAGAGGUGGCUAGGGGAGAAAUGGCAACUCCGCUGGGGCCGCGCGAGCUAGGAACUUACUUUCUGUCAAUUAGACAUUCGUGUAGGCGACCCAAUGGUGGUUGGGCUCCAGGGUCACGUGAUGGCUUCUUUGUAGCAGCGGAAAAGGCUUGCGAAGUUUAGGCUGCUGGAAGGGAGAUGGAGCCGUUAUCCAGAGCAGAGAAAGGAGAGACAGAGAGACAGAAGCAGGAAGCCAGCGAAACAGAGGUGUAGCUGGGCAAAUUCAGGAAGACUGUUGAGAGAAGAGUACAAGAGCUUGUUAAGGAAGCACUAACUUGAGAGGUUGGCAGACUGUUACAAUAGGAAACAAACAGAACUCAAAAGACAGAUUCACGGGCAAGGGGAAGAUGCUAGGGUGAGGGCUGGGAAAGAAAACCAGAAUGGUAUCUUCAAUCCCCUUCUUAAAUUUGGGAACACUGGACAGCUUGGUUGUUGCCUGACCAAUUGGACCAAAGAGACAAGAAAGAGAGAGAAUUAAGAAGAUAUCUGGGGUAGCCAAGAAAGGUGGGAAAUGCUGAGGCCUCCUUCCUGACCUGAUGCUGAAUUUUGCGAAGGAUUUUAUUUUAAUGCAGAAAAAAGAGAUUUCAUCCCCCAUUAAAAAUGGUGAGAAUGCUGAUUUUGAAACGUCCCAGAUCUCACAGACUCAACUAAUUUCAAGUGACAUCUUUUCCCCUCUCUCCCGUGGAAUAGCCUUUGACCUCCCUCCCCCUCUUACUCCUCCCCCCCCCACACCCAAGUGUAGGAUAGGAUGUUAAUCUGUGUCCUUGGCUAAGGGGAGGGGUGAGGGAAGCAGGGAAACUCUGAAAUAAAAGCUCUGUCAUCUUCAUCAUCACUAUCAUUAUCCCAAUAUGAGCCCCCCCCCUUUGUCCAUUUUCAAAUUUCCUUCAACCAAGCAGGGAAUUAGCCUGCCAAGCAGGGCGGGACAUUCGAUCCAGACAGAAUAGGGAAGCAAGUUCAGUAAGCAAUUUCCCCGAAACAAAACUGCCCCAACCCGCAUGACAUAAAACUCUCUGAAGUUUUUAGCCUUCUCCAUCCCUAAGUUUUCUCCUUUUCUUUACAUUUUCCUCUGAAUCUGGCCAAAUCCCUUACUCAGCCAAGAAUGGACGGAGGUCCAAGGCCAACCAGCAUAUUUUGGAGACCCCAGAUCCCUGUUGGAUAGUUCAUUCACCUUCUCCCUACCAGUUGGUGCCUCCACCAUUUGGUACAGGUUUUCUCCACCUCUUGUUUUCUUCUCUCUGUGCCUUUGUGUCCCCCUACCCCCUUCCCUUUUUUCCUGUUUUCUUAGGAAGGAGAGAAAGAAUAGAAGAGAAAGAAGAAAAGAGAAAAAAGAAAAAAAUUGUACAGCUGCUGGAGUGAGGUGAAGAAUGGCCCUUUCUCAAACAGAAAAUGACUUGCUAAAGAAUAUCAACAAAACAGUGACUCCUGGCACUAAAAGUUGAGUUCUUCCUGCAAGCUGAUUAUAAAAGGGCCCAAAGAAGGCCAACUCUUUUCCCUAAAACAAGCAAAAAAAAAAGCCCUAUUCUUAAUGGUGUUGUGAUUGUUUGUUUGUUUGUUAUGAGAAAAUGGCAGAAAAAUAAAGUUGCAAGCUGCUGAGGACUUUGCUUUUUUUUUUAAUAAGAAAAAAACAACUUCGUUUUGGCUCUAUUUUCUCUUCUUCCUUAACCAAUACCCUUAGAUAGGAAAGAAUUCUGUAAGCUGACUUUCUUUUACAAUGAGUGUAUUUGUGAUAAGUGAAUUCAUUUUAAGUGAUGCUUAUCUAAAAAAAAGGCAAAGCAAAACAAAAACCUUUAAAGGAGAAAGAAAAGGGAACACUCUCCCACCAACCUUCCUUUGCUCCUCCACCAAGAAUGCACUUAAUGGCAGUUACAACGAAUAAAUACGGAUUAAUCCUAGAAUCUGGAUUGAAUUCUGGGGGUGAAUUUCUAUUCUGGGGAGGACACAGGUCUGGAAAGAAGCGGGCUCUCAUUGAGAAGGGUCCUUCUGACCCGGGUAGCGCAGCUCUUUAUUGUUAGCACAGCUAUUAUUGUUAUGAUUUAGCCCAAAUGAGCUUUGGAGCAGCCCUGGCUGAAGGGUGAAUUAAUUAACACGCAUCAGCUGAGUUUGUUAUUAAUAGAUUGGAGAGGGAAACUGAAUACAAACUGAAAGGGAGGGGAGUUGGCGCUGGACAGAGUUUUAUUUUGUCUAGAUUAAUAUUACAGUAAUAACAAUAAUACCAAUAAGCAUAAUAAUUUGGCUGGAAGCCUAAAGCCGAUGAAUUCUUCGAACGUGUCCUAAACUCCUUGACCACCCUUCCCCCCAAAAGAACCAAUAACCUGGCAGCAGCAAAGGCCUGGAGUGUGUCUUAGCUGAAAAAGAAGGGAGA
This is a non-coding RNA of Phascolarctos cinereus (koala), 2460 nucleotides long. NCBI's taxonomy places the organism in Eukaryota, Metazoa, Chordata, Mammalia, Diprotodontia, Phascolarctidae. The record is from RefSeq and is a predicted model, not a curated record.